Molecule: non-coding RNA, 24 nt
Filed under: Arabidopsis thaliana (thale cress)
Lineage: Eukaryota; Viridiplantae; Streptophyta; Magnoliopsida; Brassicales; Brassicaceae
Source: RNAcentral
ACCCGGGUCUGUCGGCCAAAGUGU